Long non-coding RNA from Lagopus leucura (white-tailed ptarmigan), 3947 nucleotides. RefSeq lists it as uncharacterized. The record is from RefSeq and is a predicted model, not a curated record. The transcript has 4 exons. NCBI's taxonomy places the organism in Eukaryota, Metazoa, Chordata, Aves, Galliformes, Phasianidae.
UGUGGAGCCAGGAUCCGCCUGUUCCGAUGCCUCAUUUAAGGGCUGGCAGUGGAGGUGAGGGUGUUUUUUGUUGGAGAUUCCUGCAUAUCUGGGGCCUUUCAGAGGUAAGCAGAUCUUUUCCUUUCUUGUUGUAUCUUUGGCUGGUGCAUUUGGCCUUGUUUUCAUUUGCUGUAACUAAAGACUUUGCCACCCUACUGUUAUCCUCUGAUUUUAGCGUUAGCUAUACUAGCUUCAUUUGGCCUUUAAGGACUGUUGACAAAGUCUUCUCAAUAAGCAAGGGGGUACAAGCCUGAAUCUGAACCAAACUGGGAUCUGGACAGCUGAGUGUGCAAGUUGGACAACAAAGCGUUAAGAUCACCAACAGAAACUGAACAAAAUGCUAUGCUCCAAAUUGCCAAAGCUGGUUCCUAUUUCUCUGGUAAAGAAUGCACGUCAGUCACUUGCUCUGCAGUCAGCACACAGGGGUUCUGGUGUUUUAAACAGAUGACUUUGGCACCUGCUCCUUCAGUUCAAUUGUUAAUCCCAGCCCCUGCAGAAAUAAGGAGGCUGCAAUACACGCAUUUUGCAGAGUUCUGAGAAGGAACGUGUCUACGCUGAUUCUGUGACCUGGAGAUCAGUCUAUGAUUCUAGAUUGUCAUUUGUUCACACACCCGUGUAUGGAAGCCACUGCUCACAGCUCACUCCACUUCCUUUCCCUUCUUGGCAUCACCCGGCUCUGGGAACACCCAUUUGGGAUCAGCCUCCUGCAGGCAGCAGCUUCUGUCCAGCACUAUCAAAGGGCAGGUGUUGACUCACUAGGGGUGAGGACACAGUGUGCGAUCUGAAAGUGAAACCGGAACUGAGAUAUCACCCAGAGCAUCCAGUAGCAGAACACACUAAGUGGGGCUUGGACAGCAGCUGCUGCAAAGCCUGUGAUCCUUCCGUGCCCGGGGAUGCCUUUGCCUUCACCUUCUUCACCUCUGUCUUCUUCCUCCAAUGAUAGAAUGUGCGUCUCGUGGUUUUGUUGGAGAAGUUUGAGUCUAGUUUAUAAUUGCUAUGUUGCACACUGAUUGGCAGCAGAUCUGUCGAGAGUCCUGGUGAGCGAGAAGUCGGGGGAACUAAGGAUUCUAAUAGCUAGAAGUUCUGUGCAACAAAAAGGAACUUCUCCAGGAAGGUUUUCUGAGUCCUGAGCAGCACAACAGCAUCGUUUUGCAGAGCAGUGAAGAGGAGAGAAUGCAGAAGCUCUGCAAACUGGUGGAAAAAUGGGACAUCACUGCCAAAUACCGCCUGUAUAAGGAGCUGAUGAAAAACAGUUCUUUCCUCUCCAUGCGAUAUCCAGAUACUGUGAUUGUGUGAUUCUAAGACUCAUGCUUCCACUUGCCUCUCUGCAGAGGUGGUUCUUCAAACCUGCAUUUCUCCACCCCACCACUAUCUCCUGUUUCCUGCAAGUAGGUGAAGCUACAUUCGCAUGGAAGGUGCUCAGGCACAGACUGUCAUCCCAUCUCAUCACCCUCAAGAAGCAGAAGGUGAGUUCUGAGCUUCUUAACACCAUCCCCUCCUUUACUCUACUGGGUCACAGUCCCAAUAUUCCAUUCCCUUCCAUCCCUUUAAAUGCACCCUUGCAAAAGCAGAGCUGGCUAGGGCUCUUCACCUUUUCCCUCUGCAAGCUGGAAUGGAUGUAAUGUGACUUCUGGAGGUGUCGGUGCCUUCUGAGCCAUAAACCUAUGGAUGAAAGAUAGAACUUUCCCUAAAGAGAUAACAUUCUCUUAGUUUUAGUGCACCUAACUGUUUACAUUGAUACUGCCUGUCACUACCUGGAACAGUCUUCUAUACAUAAUUUCAUAAGGACUGUCUACUGAGCACGCAGUUUUACCAUAACAUGUAUUAAGGUGAGAGGGUGGGGCCUCAGGUGGCUUCAAGUGUGUUUCUUAAUAGAUUUUACUAAUCUGUGUUUUCAGAUCUUGAUUCGUUUCCAUCUUUCCACUAGCAGCCUAUAUAGAUUUUGUAAAUCUCGUGCUUUUCCAAUGAUUUUUGCUGGGUUUUGAACAAUUUCAGCUACAAAAGGUGAACCUAUCUCUGAUGAUAUCCUUAUUGGUACCCCAAAUCCGGAUAUAAUUUUUCUUAGUAUAACCUUUACUACUUCCCUUACUCUGUUGGUAUGACAGGGAUAAGGUUCCAACCAACUUGAAAAAGUAUCAACCAAGACCAGUAAGUACCUGUCUUAAGUACUUAUUGUGGGAGUUCAGAAAAGUCUACCUGCUAAGAGUCUCCUGGGCUGUCUUCCCUCCCUGUAACUCCAGGAUGUGCUCCUUUUGCACUCUGGUUUAUAUUUCUGGUAUAGUUCACACUUGCACACCAUGCUUUUCACAGUUCCUCCCAUUUGUAUACUUAAGACCUGAGUCUUUAGAUUGUCGGUGGUCAUAUCUGAUCUCCAAUGCAUGUCCUGAUGAUCAUCUUCUUGGGGAAUUAUUACCUGAUUAAGGUAUCCGCCAUCCUGACUCAUUUUUCUUAGCUUCUAGCAAGGAAGCUAACUUCUUAUCUUCUGAUAUUUUGGAGGUUCAUCAAUCAGUUCUUUAUAUCUCUGGGGUAAUAAUUGGAGGAAAACUUCUACUGCAUCUUUGGCUUCUGUAUCUGCAUGGUUGUUGCCCGUACUGAUAUUGCAGUGCAUUGUUAGUUGCUACUUUUGGUAAUUGCACCUUUUCUAACAAUUCUAUUAUUGUUUCUCCAUGUUUUAUGGGUGUUCCCUGAGAGACUCCCUGUUCUUUCCAGGUAGCACUAUGUGCAUGCGCAACCCCAAGUGCAAAUUUUAAGUCCAAAUACUGACAUUUUUCCUUUUUGUUAAGUCUACUGCUCUUACAAGGCUAUGAGUUCUGCUUUCUAUGCUGAGAUGGUAGUGCCAGAGUUCCAGCCUGUUACUUCAUCUCUGGUUGUUACAGCAUACUUGGCCUUCUUAAGCCAUUUCUCCCAGAGCUGCUACCAUCCACAAACAUUUCUGUAUCUUUAAUUUCACAUCCUCUUCCUCCACCACGAUCACUUGGUCCUUUGUGAUCCUGCCCAGAAAUAACCAAUAACUUUUUUUUUUUUUUUUUUAAUGGUUGGAAGAAUAGCCACACUUCAGCUGUCUCAGUGGCUUCAAUUAUUGAUGGUGUUUGAUCGCUUCAUUGUCCCUCACGUGGAUUUGUAACUAAAUACACUGCACCUGUAUCUGUAAGAAAUUUUACGCCUUUGUUCCCCAGUUGUCUUGUAACCAGGGGUUUGGCUGAUGUCUCACCUCUUGGUCCCCUCCAUUCUAUAUUUAUUGCAAUUGUAUCUAUGCCCUUUGAGUGAUCUAGCUCUGAUCUGGAUUCUCUGCUGUUAGUUUUGUUCUGUGGGCAAUCCUGUUGCCAAUCUCUAACAUUGUCUGCAUUGAUCAGGUUUCAGGACUGAGAUCUCUGCCCUUAUAUUCUCCCUUCUUGGUUCUGGCAUUUCUGUUAUACCUCUGUGUGGGAAUCAAAUGUUGCUUCUGCAUCAGAAUUAGACAAAUCUUCCCCUGGAAUGCAUGCUCAGUAUAUAGGUGCAUAUAUGUAUAUUUUGUCAUACACGUUGCAAGAAUAUUCUGCAUGAGAUGAAUCAAAUCAGACAACAAAUCAUGGCCUGCCCAAGGAAGUGCCUGAAGAGCAUGGGUGAGGCCUGGCAUCCCUCUCCCCCCUCACCCCGCACCCCAGUGCUCUUUUGUUUAACAAAGACUUUGGAGAAAAUCACCAUAUCAACGCAAAAAGAGCACUGAGACGCUUUGGAAACAACAGGAUGGCUACUGACUGACACCAGAUAACACACGAAUUAACAAAUGUUUAAUUGAGUACCCAGCCAAUGGGGAAACAGGAGAGGGGGCGGAAGGGGGAAACAAGGUGCAAAAAGCUGUCAUUGUGCCCUUAGGGGUGCUCCUGCUUGCGGAACGCCCCCCAUUGCAACUGCAAAUAAAAUAUAUU